Gonium pectorale is the source of this 108-nucleotide transfer RNA. It matches the Rfam family "tRNA". Rfam says of the family: Transfer RNA (tRNA) molecules are approximately 80 nucleotides in length. Their secondary structure includes four short double-helical elements and three loops (D, anti-codon, and T loops). The record is from Rfam. NCBI's taxonomy places the organism in Eukaryota, Viridiplantae, Chlorophyta, Chlorophyceae, Chlamydomonadales, Volvocaceae.
GGUCCUGUGGUCUAGUGGUUAGGACAUCAGACUCUGACGGCCGCAUCCCGAACAGGAUCCGGAAUCCAGAUGGAUCUGGUAACCCGAGUUCAAGUCUCGGCAGGACCU